RNAcentral lists this ribosomal RNA (406 nucleotides) under uncultured bacterium. RNAcentral's name for it is "partial 16S ribosomal RNA". It matches the Rfam family "Bacterial small subunit ribosomal RNA", at positions 30 to 526 of the family's 1533-position model. The record is from RNAcentral.
AUUGAACGCUGGCGGCAGGCCUAACACAUGCAAGUCGAACGAGUGGCGGACGGGUGAGUAAUGUCUGGGAAACUGCCCGAUGGAGGGGGAUAACUACUGGAAACGGUAGCUAAUACCGCAUACUAUCAGAUGUGCCCAGAUGGGAUUAGCUAGUUGGUGGGGUAAAGGCUCACCAAGGCGACGAUCCCUAGCUGGUCUGAGAGGAUGACCAGCCACACGUGAACUGAUACACGGUCCAGACUCCUACGGGAGGCAGCAUUGGGGAAUAUUGCGCAAUGGGCGCAAUCCUGAUGCAGCCAUGCCGCGUGGAUGAAGAAGGCCUUCGGGGUGUAAAGUACUUUCAGCGGGGAGGCGUUACCCGCAGAAGAAGCACCGGCUAACUCCGUGCCAGCAGCCGCGGUAAUAC